Dermochelys coriacea (leatherback sea turtle) is the source of this 411-nucleotide long non-coding RNA. RefSeq lists it as uncharacterized. The transcript has 2 exons. NCBI's taxonomy places the organism in Eukaryota, Metazoa, Chordata, Testudines, Dermochelyidae. The record is from RefSeq and is a predicted model, not a curated record.
GAGGGACAGCUGAACUGCUGGCAAUUGAUAGCCUGCUGGGCGGCUGCCGCACAGGAAACUUAGGGGAGCUGAUGGGGGGCUGCUGGCCCACCCUUGUUUCAAGCCCCCACCAGCUUGCUCUAACGGACUGCUCUUUCUGCAAACAGCGGACAAAGCAGGCGGUCCCUUAUAAACAAGGUUAUAAGGGAGCAUUGAGCAACAAACAUGUUCUCUAAUUGAUCAGCAACAAUACGUUAACAGGGACAACUUUAAGUGAGGAGUUAAUGUACUUCAGUUCUUCUUCAGGCUCUGUAAAUACUGAAGGAGCAUGCGUCCUGUGCUUGCAACACUCGUACCAAUAGGGCAGAGCUGUACAGGUUCCGUGAUUCUGUCAAAGGUGACAAACAGCAAGGAAGAGGGCUGUACAGAUGU